This 1240-nucleotide ribosomal RNA is filed under the name metagenome. RNAcentral's name for it is "bacterial LSU rRNA". It matches the Rfam family "Bacterial large subunit ribosomal RNA", at positions 1564 to 2813 of the family's 2925-position model. The record is from RNAcentral.
UGAUGACGAGACGCUAAGGCGUUCAAGCAGUGUAUGUCAGACUUCCAAGAAAAGCUCGCAAUGUCACAAAUAAAGAAUGCCUGUACCAUAACCGACACAGGUGGGUAGGUAGAGUAUACUAAGGGGCGCGAGAUAACUCUCUCUAAGGAACUCGGCAAAAUGACUCCGUAACUUCGGGAGAAGGAGUGCCUUAUUUAUAAGGUUGCAAUAACAAGAUCCAAGCGACUGUUUAUCAAAAACACAGGUCUCCGCUAAGUCGUAAGACGAUGUAUGGGGGCUGACGCCUGCCCAGUGCCAGAAGGUUAAAGAAGUUGGUUAGUGUAUGCGAAGCUGAAGACUGAAGCCCUGGUGAACGGCGGCCGUAACAAUAACGGUCCUAAGGUAGCGAAAUUCCUUGUCGGGUAAGUUCCGACCCGCACGAAAGGCGUAAUGAUUUGGAUACUGUCUCGGAGAGAGGCUCGGUGAAAUAGACUUGUCUGUGAAGAUGCGGACUACCUGCACCAGGACAGAAAGACCCUAUGAAGCUUUACUGUAACUUGAAAUUGGAAUUGGACUUUGCUUGCGCAGUAUAGGUGGGAAGCGUUGAAAAUAUUCUUGCGGGAGUAUUGGAGCUAUCAGUGAGAUACCACUCUUGUAAUGUUAGAUUUCUAACUUUGAACCAUAAUCUGGUCAAAGAACAGUUUCAGGUGGGCAGUUUGACUGGGGCGGUCGCCUCCCAAAUGGUAACGGAGGCGUACAAAGGUUUCCUCUGAACGGAUAGAAAUCGUAUCUAGAGUGUAAAGGCAUAAGGAAGCUUGACUGUGAGACCUACAAGUCGAGCAGGGACGAAAGUCGGUCUUAGUGAUCUGACGGUACUGAGUGGAAAGGCCGUCACUCAACGGAUAAAAGUUACUCUAAGGAUAACAGGCUGAUCUCCCCCAAGAGUUCACAUCGACGGGGAGGUUUGGCACCUCGAUGUCGGCUCAUCGCAUCCUGGGGCGGUAGUACGUCCCAAGGGUUGGGCUGUUCGCCCAUGAAAGCGGUACGCGAGCUGGGUUCAGAACGUCGUGAGACAGUUCGGUCCAUAUCCGGUGUAGGCGCUAGAAUAUUGAGAGGAGCCUUCCUUAGUACGAGAGGACCGAGAAGGACACACCGCUGGUGUACCAGUUAUCGUGCCAACGGUAAACGCUGGGUAGCUAUGUGUGGAGUGGAUAACCGCUGAAAGCAUCUAAGUGGGAAGCCCACCUCGAGAUGAGUAUUC